GGUUGUGGCUCAGUGGUAAAGCACUCGCCUAGCAUGUGUGAGGCCCUGGGUUUGAUCCCCAGUACUG
Molecule: transfer RNA, 67 nt
Filed under: Marmota monax (woodchuck)
Lineage: Eukaryota; Metazoa; Chordata; Mammalia; Rodentia; Sciuridae
Description: tRNA.Ala
Rfam family: tRNA
About the family: Transfer RNA (tRNA) molecules are approximately 80 nucleotides in length. Their secondary structure includes four short double-helical elements and three loops (D, anti-codon, and T loops). Further hydrogen bonds mediate the characteristic L-shaped molecular structure. tRNAs have two regions of fundamental functional importance: the anti-codon, which is responsible for specific mRNA codon recognition, and the 3' end, to which the tRNAs corresponding amino acid is attached (by aminoacyl-tRNA synthetases). tRNAs cope with the degeneracy of the genetic code in two manners: having more than one tRNA (with a specific anti-codon) for a particular amino acid; and 'wobble' base-pairing, i.e. permitting non-standard base-pairing at the 3rd anti-codon position.
Source: RNAcentral